GAUGAACGCUGGCGGCGUGCCUAAUACAUGCAAGUCGGGCGAACGGACGAGAAGCUUGCUUUUCUGAUGUUAGCGGCGGACGGGUGAGUAACACGUGGAUAACCUACCUAUAAGACUGGGAUAACUUCGGGAAACCGGAGCUAAUACCGGAUAAUAUUUUGAACCGCAUGGUUCAAAAGUGAAAGACGGUCUUGCUGUCACUUAUAGAUGGAUCCGCGCUGCAUUAGCUAGUUGGUAAGGUAACGGCUUACCAAGGCAACGAUGCAUAGCCGACCUGAGAGGGUGAUCGGCCACACUGGAACUGAGACACGGUCCAGACUCCUACGGGAGGCAGCAGUAGGGAAUCUUCCGCAAUGGGCGAAAGCCUGACGGAGCAACGCCGCGUGAGUGAUGAAGGUCCUCGGAUCGUAAAACUCUGUUAUUAGGGAAGAACAUAUGUGUAAGUAACUGUGCACAUCUUGACGGUACCUAAUCAGAAAGCCACGGCGAACUACGU
Molecule: ribosomal RNA, 496 nt
Filed under: uncultured bacterium
Lineage: Bacteria
Description: partial 16S ribosomal RNA
Rfam family: Bacterial small subunit ribosomal RNA
Source: RNAcentral